Molecule: ribosomal RNA, 462 nt
Rfam family: Bacterial large subunit ribosomal RNA
CAUCACUAGAAGAUAAAGACUUUUAGCAAUACCUGCCCAGUGCGAAAUAUUACUGUAAACGGCCGCCCUAGCGUGAGGGUGCUAAGGUAGCGAAAUUCCUUGCCUUUUGAUUGUAGGCCUGCAUGAAUGGUUUAACGAGGGUUUAACUGUCUCUAAAUUUUUUAUUGAAAUUGUACUGAAGGUGAAGAUACCUUCAUUAAAAAGUUAGACAAAAAGACCCCGUGCAACUUUGAAAAUUGACUUUAUUCAGGAGUAAAAGAUUUUUAGGUGGGGCGCCUAGAAAGUAAGCCUAACCUUUCUGAGUAACUAAUUCUUUCCGGAUUUGACCCGAUUAUAUUCGAUCAUAGGAGAAGUUACGCCGGGGAUAACAGGCUAAUCCUUUAGUAGAGUUCGUAUUGGCUAAAGGGAUUGGCACCUCGAUGUUGAAUCAGGGAUGAUAGCUUCAAGGCGUAGAGGCUUUGA